GAUGAAGAACGUAGCGAAAUGCGAUAAGUAAUGUGAAUUGCAGAAUUCAGUGAAUCAUCGAAUCUUUGAACGCACAUUGCGCCAGUAUUCUGGCGGGCAUGCCUGUCCGAGCGUCAUUUCAACCAUCAAGCCCCCGGGCUUGUGUUGGGGACCUGCGGCUGCCCGCAGGCCCUGAAAACCAGUGGCGGGCUCGCUGUCACACCGAGCGUAGUAGCAAUCACCUCGCUCAGGGCGUGCUGCGGGUUCCGGCCGUUAAACAGCCUUACAAAACCCAAGGUUGACCUCGGAUCAGGUAGGAAGACCCGCUGAACUUAAGCAUAUCAAUAAGCGGAGGA
Molecule: unclassified non-coding RNA, 335 nt
Filed under: soil metagenome
Description: partial contains 5.8S ribosomal RNA, internal transcribed spacer 2, and large subunit ribosomal RNA
Rfam family: 5.8S ribosomal RNA (bases 1-116)
Source: RNAcentral